Molecule: ribosomal RNA, 2919 nt
Filed under: Bacillus cereus
Lineage: Bacteria; Bacillati; Bacillota; Bacilli; Caryophanales; Bacillaceae
Description: bacterial LSU rRNA
Rfam family: Bacterial large subunit ribosomal RNA
Source: RNAcentral
UAAGUUAGAAAGGGCGCACGGUGGAUGCCUUGACACUAGGAGUCGAUGAAGGACGGGACUAACGCCGAUAUGCUUCGGGGAGCUGUAAGUAAGCUUUGAUCCGAAGAUUUCCGAAUGGGGAAACCCACCAUACGUAAUGGUAUGGUAUCCUUAUCUGAAUACAUAGGGUAAGGAAGACAGACCCAGGGAACUGAAACAUCUAAGUACCUGGAGGAAGAGAAAGCAAAUGCGAUUUCCUGAGUAGCGGCGAGCGAAACGGAACAUAGCCCAAACCAAGAGGCUUGCCUCUUGGGGUUGUAGGACAUUCUAUACGGAGUUACAAAGGAACGAGGUAGACGAAGCGACCUGGAAAGGUCCGUCGUAGAGGGUAGCAACCCCGUAGUCGAAACUUCGUUCUCUCUUGAAUGUAUCCUGAGUACGGCGGAACACGUGAAAUUCCGUCGGAAUCUGGGAGGACCAUCUCCCAAGGCUAAAUACUCCCUAGUGAUCGAUAGUGAACCAGUACCGUGAGGGAAAGGUGAAAAGCACCCCGGAAGGGGAGUGAAAGAGAUCCUGAAACCGUGUGCCUACAAAUAGUCAGAGCCCGUUAACGGGUGAUGGCGUGCCUUUUGUAGAAUGAACCGGCGAGUUACGAUCCCGUGCGAGGUUAAGCUGAAGAGGCGGAGCCGCAGCGAAAGCGAGUCUGAAUAGGGCGUUUAGUACGUGGUCGUAGACCCGAAACCAGGUGAUCUACCCAUGUCCAGGGUGAAGUUCAGGUAACACUGAAUGGAGGCCCGAACCCACGCACGUUGAAAAGUGCGGGGAUGAGGUGUGGGUAGCGGAGAAAUUCCAAUCGAACCUGGAGAUAGCUGGUUCUCCCCGAAAUAGCUUUAGGGCUAGCCUUAAGUGUAAGAGUCUUGGAGGUAGAGCACUGAUUGGACUAGGGGUCCUCAUCGGAUUACCGAAUUCAGUCAAACUCCGAAUGCCAAUGACUUAUCCUUAGGAGUCAGACUGCGAGUGAUAAGAUCCGUAGUCAAAAGGGAAACAGCCCAGACCGCCAGCUAAGGUCCCAAAGUGUGUAUUAAGUGGAAAAGGAUGUGGAGUUGCUUAGACAACUAGGAUGUUGGCUUAGAAGCAGCCACCAUUUAAAGAGUGCGUAAUAGCUCACUAGUCGAGUGACUCUGCGCCGAAAAUGUACCGGGGCUAAAUACACCACCGAAGCUGCGGAUUGAUACCAAUGGUAUCAGUGGUAGGGGAGCGUUCUAAGGACAGUGAAGUCAGACCGGAAGGACUGGUGGAGUGCUUAGAAGUGAGAAUGCCGGUAUGAGUAGCGAAAGACGGGUGAGAAUCCCGUCCACCGAAUGCCUAAGGUUUCCUGAGGAAGGCUCGUCCGCUCAGGGUUAGUCAGGACCUAAGCCGAGGCCGACAGGCGUAGGCGAUGGACAACAGGUUGAUAUUCCUGUACCACCUCUUUAUCGUUUGAGCAAUGGAGGGACGCAGAAGGAUAGAAGAAGCGUGCGAUUGGUUGUGCACGUCCAAGCAGUUAGGCUGAUAAGUAGGCAAAUCCGCUUAUCGUGAAGGCUGAGCUGUGAUGGGGAAGCUCCUUAUGGAGCGAAGUCUUUGAUUCCCCGCUGCCAAGAAAAGCUUCUAGCGAGAUAAAAGGUGCCUGUACCGCAAACCGACACAGGUAGGCGAGGAGAGAAUCCUAAGGUGUGCGAGAGAACUCUGGUUAAGGAACUCGGCAAAAUGACCCCGUAACUUCGGGAGAAGGGGUGCUUUCUUAACGGAAAGCCGCAGUGAAUAGGCCCAAGCGACUGUUUAGCAAAAACACAGCUCUCUGCGAAGCCGUAAGGCGAAGUAUAGGGGGUGACACCUGCCCGGUGCUGGAAGGUUAAGGAGAGGGGUUAGCGUAAGCGAAGCUCUGAACUGAAGCCCCAGUAAACGGCGGCCGUAACUAUAACGGUCCUAAGGUAGCGAAAUUCCUUGUCGGGUAAGUUCCGACCCGCACGAAAGGUGUAACGAUUUGGGCACUGUCUCAACCAGAGACUCGGUGAAAUUAUAGUACCUGUGAAGAUGCAGGUUACCCGCGACAGGACGGAAAGACCCCGUGGAGCUUUACUGUAGCCUGAUAUUGAAUUUUGGUACAGUUUGUACAGGAUAGGCGGGAGCCUUUGAAACCGGAGCGCUAGCUUCGGUGGAGGCGCUGGUGGGAUACCGCCCUGACUGUAUUGAAAUUCUAACCUACGGGUCUUAUCGACCCGGGAGACAGUGUCAGGUGGGCAGUUUGACCGGGGCGGUCGCCUCCUAAAGUGUAACGGAGGCGCCCAAAGGUUCCCUCAGAAUGGUUGGAAAUCAUUCGUAGAGUGCAAAGGCAUAAGGGAGCUUGACUGCGAGACCUACAAGUCGAGCAGGGACGAAAGUCGGGCUUAGUGAUCCGGUGGUUCCGCAUGGAAGGGCCAUCGCUCAACGGAUAAAAGCUACCCCGGGGAUAACAGGCUUAUCUCCCCCAAGAGUCCACAUCGACGGGGAGGUUUGGCACCUCGAUGUCGGCUCAUCGCAUCCUGGGGCUUGUAGUCGGUCCCAAGGGUUGGGCUGUUCGCCCAUUAAAGCGGUACGCGAGCUGGGUUCAGAACGUCGUGAGACAGUUCGGUCCCUAUCCGUCGUGGGCGUAGGAAAUUUGAGAGGAGCUGUCCUUAGUACGAGAGGACCGGGAUGGACGCACCGCUGGUGUACCAGUUGUUCUGCCAAGGGCAUAGCUGGGUAGCUAUGUGCGGAAGGGAUAAGUGCUGAAAGCAUCUAAGCAUGAAGCCCCCCUCAAGAUGAGAUUUCCCAUAGCGUAAGCUAGUAAGAUCCCUGAAAGAUGAUCAGGUUGAUAGGUUCGAGGUGGAAGCAUGGUGACAUGUGGAGCUGACGAAUACUAAUAGAUCGAGGACUUAACCA